Molecule: long non-coding RNA, 153 nt
Organism: Amblyraja radiata (thorny skate)
Lineage: Eukaryota; Metazoa; Chordata; Chondrichthyes; Rajiformes; Rajidae
Exons: 3
Source: RefSeq, a predicted model, not a curated record
AACAGCAUUAGAUCAAUCGGGAGCACAUGGAUCUCAAUUCCCACAGUUUAGCACACAUCAUGACAUAAGUGCAGAUUCGCUUGAUAUGAGAGCUGACUCCUUAGGUGACCCAAUGUGUUUACGCUCACCAGCUCCACAAGAUACACGUCGAGC